RNA transcript from Mus musculus (house mouse), 4748 nucleotides. It is a transcript of the gene named DExH-box helicase 29, with no coding region annotated. Lineage: Eukaryota; Metazoa; Chordata; Mammalia; Rodentia; Muridae. The transcript has 27 exons. The record is from RefSeq and is marked validated.
GACGGUGGCCCGGAGGAGUCAAAAGUGAGCGAGCCUUGAGCCCCGCGUGACUUUUCUCCUUUCUAGUCUGGGUCCUGCCCCUUUUCUCUUCCAACCACUGCGAGUCCGGCAGUUCAAUGACUAAAAACUUAGCGACCAGUGGCGCACGACAGCAGCCAUGCCGCUCGCUCCCGGGAGCCGAGAGGCGGAGUCUGAGGACACGGGCCAAUUGAGCCGGAGCCCCAGCCGCGGAGCCCGGAUGGAGGAGGCUGGGUGGAGGCGUGGGAGCCGGCAAACGUGAAGAGCUCUCGGGCUUCUGCUGUGCCGCAGCGGGGAUCUGGAUCUGGAAGACUACUCUCCUGCAGCUGAAACAUGGGCGGCAAAAAUAAGAAACACAAGGCGCCGGGAGCUGCGGCGAUGCGGGCCGCCGUGUCUGCUUCCAGAGCCAGAAGUGCAGAGGCCGGAGCUGUUGGGGAAGCCCAGAGCAAGAAGCCGGUGGCCAGGCCGGCGCCCGCCGUCCCCACCGGCGCCCGGGAGCCCCGAGUGAAGCAAGGUCCAAAAAUUUAUAGUUUUAAUUCUGCAAAUGAUUCCGGUGGCUCUGCAAAUCUGGACAAAUCUAUUUUGAAAGUGGUGAUUAACAAUAAACUAGAGCAAAGGAUUAUCGGAGUGAUCAAUGAGCAUAAAAAGCAGAACAGCGACAGGGGAGCGAUCUCUGGAAGACUGUCGGCUAAGAAGCUACAGGAUUUAUACAUGGCUUUACAAGCGUUUUCCUUUAAGACUAAGGAUAUUGAAGAUGCCAUGACCAAUACACUCUUGCAUGGAGGUGACCUUCAUUCUGCCUUGGACUGGCUCUGCUUAAAUCUUUCCGAUGAUGCACUUCCUGAAGGAUUCAGUCAAGAAUUUGAAGAGCAGCAACCUAAAAGCAGGCCAAAAUUCCAGUCUGUACAAAUACAGGCUACUCUUUCACCUCCACAGCAGACGAAAACCAAAAGGCAGGAGGAAGACCCUAAAAUUAAGCCAAAAAAGGAAGAGACAACCGUGGAGGUGAAUAUGAAGGAGUGGAUUUUGAGAUAUGCUGAGCAACAGGACGAAGAGGAGAAGGGCGAGGGCUCUAAAGGCUUAGAGGAAGAAGAAAAGUUUGACCCCAACCAAAGGUACUUGAACCUUGCAGCCAGACUUCUGGACGCAAAGGAGCAAGCCGCCGCCUUCAAACUAGAAAAAAACAAGCAAGGCCAAAAAGAGGCUCAAGAGAAAAUAAGAAAGUUCCAAAGAGAAAUGGAAACUUUAGAAGACCAUCCAAUAUUCAACCCAGCCAUAAAGAUUUCACAUCAACAAAAUGAGAAGAAAAAGCCUGCUCCAGCCACAGAAGCUGAGAGUGCUUUAAACCUGAAUUUAUUUGAAAAAUCUGCAGCUGCUACCGAGGAAGAGAAAGGUAAAAAGAAAGAACCUCACGAUGUAAGGAACUUUGACUACACUGCUCGAAGCUGGACUGGCAAAUCUCCCAAACAAUUCCUCAUCGACUGGGUCAGGAAGAAUCUUCCCAAGAGUCCAAACCCCUCCUUUGAGAAAGUUGCCGUAGGCAGAUACUGGAAAUGUAGGGUAAGGGUCGUCAGGUCUGAAGAUGACGUGCUGGUUGUGUGUCCUACAAUCUUAACCGAGGACGGCAUGCAAGCCCAGCACCUGGGAGCCACAUUAGCCCUUUAUCGGCUAGUGAAGGGGCAGUCUGUCCAUCAGUUACUCCCUCCUACGUACCGGGAUGUUUGGCUGGAGUGGAGUGAUGAAGAGAAGAAAAGGGAAGAACUCAAUAAAAUGGAAACCAACAAACCACGGGAUCUUUUUAUUGCCAAGCUCUUGAAUAAGUUGAAGCAGCAGCAGCAACAACAGCAGCAGCAGCGUCCUGAAAGCGAGAAAGGGGGCUCCGAGGAUCCCGAGGAAUCCUGGGAAAACUUAGUUUCCGACGAAGAUCUUGCUGCGCUGUCCUUGGAGCCAACCAGUGCAGAAGACCUGGCACCUGUUAGGAGCCUCUUCAGGAGGCUACAGAGCACACCCAAGUAUCAGAGGCUCCUGAAGGAGAGACAGCAGCUACCUGUGUUCAAACACCGGGACUCAAUUGUGGAAACUCUGAAGAGGCACCGGGUGGUGGUGGUAGCAGGUGAAACGGGGAGUGGCAAGAGCACCCAGGUGCCACACUUCCUGUUGGAAGAUCUGCUGCUCGAUGAGUGUGGAGCCAGGAAGUGUAACAUAGUCUGCACCCAGCCCCGAAGAAUCUCGGCGGUGAGCUUAGCCACCAGGGUGUGCGAGGAGCUGGGCUGUGAGAGUGGCCCUGGAGGAAGGAAUUCUUUGUGUGGCUAUCAGAUCCGGAUGGAAUCUCGAGCUAGUGAAUCUACCAGGCUACUGUAUUGUACAACCGGAGUUUUGCUAAGGAAACUUCAGGAAGAUGGUCUUCUGGCUGAUGUGUCUCAUGUCAUUGUCGAUGAGGUCCAUGAGAGAAGUGUCCAGUCAGAUUUCCUGCUCGUUAUCCUGAAGGAGAUUCUGCAGAAGCGUUCUGACCUACACUUGAUUCUGAUGAGCGCCACCGUGGACAGUGACAAGUUCUCUACGUACUUCACACACUGUCCUAUUCUCAGAAUUUCAGGAAGAAGUUACCCUGUUGAGGUUUUUCAUCUUGAAGACAUAGUAGAAGAAACAGGCUUCGUCCUGGAGAAAGACUCUGAGUAUUGUCAGAAGUUUCUGGAAGAGGAGGAAGAAAUUACCAUUAAUGUUACAAGUAAAGCUGGGGGAGUCAAAAAGUAUCAGGAAUACAUCCCAGUUCAGAGUGGAGCAAGUCCUGAAUUAAACCCGUUCUACCAAAAGUACAGUAGCCGUACGCAGCAUGCAAUUCUCUACAUGAACCCCCAUAAAAUCAACCUGGACCUCAUUUUGGAGCUUCUUGUAUACUUAGACAAAAGUCCUCAGUUCAGAAAUAUUGAAGGAGCAGUAUUGAUCUUCUUACCUGGCCUUGCUCACAUUCAACAGUUGUAUGACCUCCUGUCAAGUGACAGAAGGUUUUAUUCUGAGCGGUAUCAAGUUAUAGCUCUGCAUUCAGUUCUCUCAACUCAAGAUCAAGCGGCCGCCUUCAUGUUCCCCCCUCCCGGGGUCAGGAAGAUUGUCUUAGCAACAAACAUUGCAGAGACAGGGAUAACUAUUCCUGAUGUUGUGUUUGUCAUUGACACUGGACGGACAAAAGAAAAUAAGUACCAUGAAAGCAGCCAGAUGAGCUCUUUGGUGGAGACCUUUGUCAGUAAAGCUAGUGCCCUACAGCGCCAGGGGAGAGCCGGGAGGGUCCGGGAUGGCUUCUGCUUUCGGCUGUACACAAGAGAAAGAUUUGAAGGUUUUCUGGACUAUUCUGUACCUGAGAUCCUGCGCGUCCCUCUGGAGGAACUCUGUCUUCACAUCAUGAAGUGUGAUCUGGGCUCCCCUGAAGACUUCCUCUCCAAAGCCUUAGACCCUCCUCAGCUUCAAGUCAUCAGCAACGCGAUGAACUUACUCCGGAAAAUUGGAGCCUGCGAACCCAAUGAGCCUAAACUGACACCGCUGGGCCAGCACCUUGCCGCUUUGCCUGUCAAUGUCAAAAUUGGCAAGAUGCUCAUUUUCGGAGCCAUAUUUGGCUGUCUCGAACCAGUGGCAACACUGGCAGCCGUGAUGACAGAGAAGUCUCCAUUCAUCACACCAAUUGGUCGAAAGGAUGAAGCGGACCUUGCAAAGUCGUCUUUGGCUGUGGCCGACUCGGACCACCUCACGAUCUACAAUGCUUAUCUAGGGUGGAAGAAAGCCCAGCAAGAAGGAGGCUUCCGCUCUGAGAUCUCAUAUUGCCAGAGGAACUUCCUAAACAGAACGUCACUGUUGACACUCGAGGAUGUGAAGCAGGAGUUAAUGAAAUUGGUGAAAGCUGCAGGAUUUUCAUCGUCUCCCAGCUGGGAGGGAAGGAAAGGGCCGCAGACGCUCUCUUUCCAGGACAUUGCUCUUCUUAAAGCUGUGCUGGCUGCUGGCCUGUACGACAGUGUGGGGAAGAUCAUGUGUACAAAGUCCGUGGACGUGACAGAGAAGCUGGCGUGCAUGGUGGAGACAGCCCAAGGCAAAGCUCAGGUGCACCCGUCCUCUGUAAACCGGGACCUACAAACCUACGGGUGGCUCUUGUACCAGGAGAAGGUGAGGUACACCAGAGUCUACCUGAGAGAGACGACCCUCAUCACCCCUUUUCCAGUUUUGCUUUUUGGAGGUGACAUAGAAGUCCAGCACCGAGAGCGGCUUCUGUCUGUGGACGGCUGGAUCUAUUUUCAGGUAUCCAGUCCAGAUGACCUGAUGAGAGCAUUCAAACUCCUGUAUCCCUGAGGCCCCGGUAAAGAUAGCUGUCAUUUUUAAGCAGCUAAGAGUUCUCAUUGAUUCUGUUUUAAGAAAAAAACUUGAAAAUCCAAAGAUGUCCCUUGAAAAUGACAAGAUUCUACAGAUCAUUACAGAAUUGAUAAAAACAGAGAAUAAUUGACACUGGAAUCCACGGUUGUCUGCUUGUAAAGUUAAGAUAAAGAUACGGUCCUGAAAUGAUGUGGAGGUCAGCUGUCCCACUAAGUAUUUCAUUACCUAAAAUGUUGGUUCUGGCCAUUAACCUGAAGACGGCGGGGAGGGAAAGAGCACAUUCUUUCAACGUGGACUUUUCUAGCUCCUUUGUAACGAUGAUGAUACUCAAUGUAUUUGCCAUGACAUUUACAAUAAAUCCUUUGGUAUCAAUCAUA